AUGAAGCGCACGGAGGAGGCUUUGGGCGUGCUGCUCCACAGGAUGCCCGACGACCUGCCUAAUGCCAUCUCCUACUCAGUAAUUCUCAAGAGUUUCUGCGACAGUGGGAGGAGCCAGCUUGCGCUUGACCUGCUCCAAAUGAUGGCCAAAAAAGGAGCUGACCACUCCCCCGACGUGGUUGCAUACAACAUGGUAAUCGAUGGCUUCUUUAAGGAGGGCGAAGUAAGCAAAGCAUGCGAUCUGUUCCAUGAAAUGAUACAACAGGGGGUUGUGCCUACUGUGGUGACGUAUAACUCUGUUAUCGAUGCGCUAUGCAAAGCAAGAGCAAUGGACAAGGCGGAGGUGGUUCUUCGAUCAAUGGUUCAUAACGGUGUACACCCGAAUACUGUGACAUAUAAUAGCUUGAUCCAAGGACUUUGGGACAGUUGA
Molecule: ribosomal RNA, 429 nt
Filed under: Triticum aestivum (bread wheat)
Lineage: Eukaryota; Viridiplantae; Streptophyta; Magnoliopsida; Poales; Poaceae
Description: partial small subunit ribosomal RNA
Source: RNAcentral